RNAcentral lists this ribosomal RNA (229 nucleotides) under uncultured Eubacteriales bacterium. Its description in RNAcentral is "uncultured Clostridiales bacterium partial 16S ribosomal RNA". It matches the Rfam family "Bacterial small subunit ribosomal RNA", at positions 105 to 334 of the family's 1533-position model. The record is from RNAcentral. Lineage: Bacteria; Bacillati; Bacillota; Clostridia; Eubacteriales.
GGUGAGUAACGCGUGAGCAACCUGCCUAUGACAGUGGGAUAGCCUCGGGAAACCGGGAUUAAUACCGCAUGAAAUCGUAGAAACACAUGUUUUAACGGUCAAAGAUUUAUCGGUCAUAGAUGGGCUCGCGUCUGAUUAGCUAGUUGGUGAGAUAACAGCCCACCAAGGCGACGAUCAGUAGCCGGUCUGAGAGGAUGAACGGCCACAUUGGAACUGAGACACGGUCCAA